Molecule: long non-coding RNA, 503 nt
Filed under: Elaeis guineensis (African oil palm)
Lineage: Eukaryota; Viridiplantae; Streptophyta; Magnoliopsida; Arecales; Arecaceae
Description: long non-coding RNA (EGUI_LNC072778)
Source: RNAcentral
UUGCAUGCUUGAAUUUGCUUUGAUUAUAAUCGGUAAAGUGAUUCUAGGGUUUUGGAUUCGACUCGAUAGUUUUAUUUGAUAAAGCUAUUAAUUUGCUUGUUUAAAUUUUUUAAAAAUUAUUUUUCGCUGCGUGGCCGGAACCCAACAUUUGUCACAUACAUUUUAAAGUGAAAAUCAAGUCAAAAUAGAACUAAAAUCCUAUCAAUUGAGUCUCUCUAUCUUAUGUAAAGCUCGUAAAAUAUGAUCCGACCCACCAAUCCAAUCCAUAUUCGAUCUACCAAAAAUAAGUUUGGAUUUAUACUAAACAGAUUUAGGUCAUACAUAAAUCGAUCUGUUCCAUCUAUUUAAUAUUUGGGUUGGAUUUGGAUUUCAGAUAUCUAAUCCAUUUAACUCAUUUAAUAUUCAGAUCGAGUUGAGUCAAAUAACAUGUUUAAUCUAUUUAAUUUAUUUAAUCCCUUUAACCUGAUUAAGACUUACUUAACAUGUUUAAAAUCUAUUUAAUC